This 749-nucleotide ribosomal RNA is filed under the name uncultured bacterium. RNAcentral describes it as "bacterial SSU rRNA". It matches the Rfam family "Bacterial small subunit ribosomal RNA", at positions 8 to 796 of the family's 1533-position model. The record is from RNAcentral.
AGAGUUUGAUCAUGGCUCAGAGCGAACGCUAGCGGCGGGCCUAACACAUGCAAGUCGAGCGCAUGACUUCGGUCAUGAGCGGCGGACGGGUGAGUAACACGUAGGUCAUUUACCCUCAGGUGGGGAAUAACCCGGGGAAACCCGAGCUAAUACCGCAUAUGGUCUUCGGAUCAAAGCCUUCGGGCGCCAGAGGAUGAGCCUGCGUCCCAUUACCUAGUUGGUAGGGUAACGGCCUACCAAGGGGACGAUGGGUAGCUGGUCUGAGAGGAUGAUCAGCCACACUGGGACUGAGACACGGCCCAGACUCCUACGGGAGGCAGCAGUGGGGAAUAUUGCGCAAUGGGCGAAAGCCUGACGCAGCUACGCCGCGUGGGUGAUGAAGGUCUUCGGAUCGUAAAGCUCUGUCGGGAGGGAAGAAGUUCUGACGGUACCUCCCAAGAAAGCACCGGCUAACUCCGUGCCAGCAGCCGCGGUAAUACGGAGGGUGCAAGCGUUGCUCGGAAUUACUGGGCGUAAAGCGUACGCAGGCUGUCCGUUAAGUCGGGUGUGAAAUCCCGGGGCUCAACCCCGGAAUUGCGCCCGAAACUGGCGGGCUUGAGUGCGGGAGAGGGAAGCGGAAUUCCUGGUGUAGAGGUGAAAUUCGUAGAUAUCAGGAGGAGCACCGGUGGCGAAAGCGGCUUCCUGGCCCGACACUGACGCUCAUGUACGAAAGCGUGGGGAGCAAACAGGAUUAGAUACCCUAGUAGUCC